Molecule: ribosomal RNA, 376 nt
Filed under: uncultured bacterium
Lineage: Bacteria
Description: bacterial SSU rRNA
Rfam family: Bacterial small subunit ribosomal RNA
Source: RNAcentral
GACGAACGCUGGCGGCGUGCUUAACACAUGCAAGUCGAGCGGUAAGGCCCUUUCGGGGGUACACGAGCGGCGAACGGGUGAGUAACACGUGGGUGACCUGCCUUUAGCUCUGGGAUAAGCCUGGGAAACUGGGUCUAAUACCGGAUACGACUCCGCGGUGCAUGCUGUGGGGUGGAAAGCCUUGUGCGGCUGGAGAUGGGCCCGCGGCCUAUCAGCUUGUUGGUGGGGUGAUGGCCCACCAAGGCGACGACGGGUAGCCGGCCUGAGAGGGCGACCGGCCACACUGGGACUGAGACACGGCCCAGACUCCUACGGGAGGCAGCAGUGGGGAAUCUUGCGCAAAUGGGCGAAAGCCUGACGCAGCGACGCCGCGUGA